GUUGAGCGGAGAUAUAUGGAGCUUGCUUUAUAUAACUUAGCAGCGAACGGGUGAGUAACACGUAGAUAAUCUAUCCUAUACUGGGGGAUAGCCCGAUGAAAGUUGGAUUAAUACCGCAUAUAGCUAUAUAGUUGCAUGAUUAUGUAGUGAAAGAUUUAUUGGUAUAGGAGGAGUCUGCGGCACAUUAGCUAGUAGGUGAGGUAAAGGCUUACCUAGGCGACGAUGUGUAGCCGGUCUGAGAGGAUGAACGGCCACAAUGGAACUGAGACACGGUCCAUACUCCUACGGGAGGCAGCAGUGGGGAAUAUUGCACAAUGGGGGAAACCCUGAUGCAGCAACGCCGCGUGAGUGAAGAAGGUUUUCGGAUUGUAAAGCUCUGUUAGCAGGGAAGAGGAAGGACGGUACCUGCAGAGGAAGCCACGGCUAACUACGUGCCAGCAGCCGCGGUAAUACGUAGGUGGCAAGCGUUGUUCGGAAUAACUGGGCGUAAAGGAUGCGUAGGCGGUUAAACAAGUUAUAUGUUAAAUAUAUAGGCUUAACCUGUAGAAAGCAUAUAAAACUGUUUAACUAGAGUGCAGGAGAGGUAAGUGGAAUUCCUAGUGUAGCGGUGAAAUGCGUAGAGGUUAGGAAGAACACCAGUGGCGAAGGCGACUUACUGGACUGUAACUGACGCUGAGGCAUGAGAGCAUGGGGAGCAAACAGGAUUAGAUACCCUGGUAGUCCAUGCUGUAAACGAUGGGUACUAGGUGUGGGUUGUGAAUAACAAUUCGUGCCGUCGCAAACGCAAUAAGUACCCCGCCUG
RNAcentral lists this ribosomal RNA (802 nucleotides) under uncultured bacterium. RNAcentral describes it as "bacterial SSU rRNA". It matches the Rfam family "Bacterial small subunit ribosomal RNA", at positions 61 to 875 of the family's 1533-position model. The record is from RNAcentral.